RNAcentral lists this ribosomal RNA (2923 nucleotides) under Acinetobacter baumannii. Its description in RNAcentral is "23S ribosomal RNA". It matches the Rfam family "Bacterial large subunit ribosomal RNA". Lineage: Bacteria; Pseudomonadati; Pseudomonadota; Gammaproteobacteria; Moraxellales; Moraxellaceae. The record is from RNAcentral.
GUUGUAUAGUCAAGUAAUUAAGUGCAUGUGGUGGAUGCCUUGGCAGUCAGAGGCGAUGAAAGACGUGAUAGCCUGCGAAAAGCUCCGGGGAGGCGGCAAAUAUCCUUUGAUCCGGAGAUGUCUGAAUGGGGGAACCCACCUACUUUAAGGUAGGUAUUGCAACAUGAAUACAUAGUGUUGCAAGGCGAACGAGGGGAAGUGAAACAUCUCAGUACCCUUAGGAAAAGAAAUCAAUUGAGAUUCCCUCAGUAGCGGCGAGCGAACGGGGAUCAGCCCAUUAAGUUAUGUGUGUUUUAGUGGAACGCUCUGGGAAGUGCGAACGUAGAGGGUGAUAUUCCCGUACACGAAAGGGCACACAUAAUGAUGACGAGUAGGGCGAGGCACGUGAAACCUUGUCUGAAUAUGGGGGGACCAUCCUCCAAGGCUAAAUACUCCUGACUGACCGAUAGUGAACCAGUACCGUGAGGGAAAGGCGAAAAGAACCCCUGUGAGGGGAGUGAAAUAGAUCCUGAAACCGCAUGCAUACAAGCAGUGGGAGCACCUUCGUGGUGUGACUGCGUACCUUUUGUAUAAUGGGUCAGCGACUUAUAUUCAGUAGCAAGGUUAACCGUAUAGGGGAGCCGUAGAGAAAUCGAGUCUUAAUAGGGCGUUUAGUUGCUGGGUAUAGACCCGAAACCAGGCGAUCUAUCCAUGAGCAGGUUGAAGGUUGGGUAACACUAACUGGAGGACCGAACCCACUGUCGUUGAAAAGCCAGGGGAUGACUUGUGGAUAGGGGUGAAAGGCUAAUCAAGCCUGGUGAUAGCUGGUUCUCCCCGAAAGCUAUUUAGGUAGCGCCUCGGACGAAUACCAUAGGGGGUAGAGCACUGUUUCGGCUAGGGGGUCAUCCCGACUUACCAAACCGAUGCAAACUCCGAAUACCUAUGAGUACUAUCCGGGAGACAGACUGCGGGUGCUAACGUCCGUAGUCAAGAGGAAAACAAUCCAGACCGCCAGCUAAGGCCCCAAAAUCAUAGUUAAGUGGGAAACGAUGUGGGAAGGCAUAGACAGCUAGGAGGUUGGCUUANGAAGCAGCCACCCUUUAAAGAAAGCGUAAUAGCUCACUAGUCGAGUCGGCCUGCGCGGAAGAUGUAACGGGGCUAAAACUAUGUGCCGAAGCUGCGGAUUUGACAUUAGUCAAGUGGUAGGGGAGCGUUCUGUAAGCCGAUGAAGGUGUAUUGAGAAGUNNNNNAUGCUGGAGGUAUCAGAAGUGCGAAUGCUGACGUGAGUAACGACAAAACGGGUGAAAAACCCGUUCGCCGAAAGACCAAGGGUUCCAGUCCAACGUUAAUCGGGGCUGGGUGAGUCGACCCCUAAGGCGAGGCCGAAAGGCGUAGUCGAUGGGAAAAUGGUUAAUAUUCCAUUACUUCUGUGUAAUGCGAUGAGAGGACGGAGAAGGCUAAAUCAGCCUGGCGUUGGUUGUCCAGGUGAAAGGAUGUAGGCAUGUAUCUUAGGCAAAUCCGGGGUACUCUAUGCUGAGAUCUGAUAGCAAGCUGUACUUGUACAGCGAAGUGGUUGAUGCCAUGCUUCCAGGAAAAGUCUCUAAGCUUCAGUUACACAGGAAUCGUACCCGAAACCGACACAGGUGGUCAGGUCGAGUAGACCAAGGCGCUUGAGAGAACUCUGCUGAAGGAACUAGGCAAAAUGGUACCGUAACUUCGGGAGAAGGUACGCUGUUGUUGGUGAUGGAACUCGCUUCCUGAGCUGACGACAGCCGCAGAAACCAGGCCGCUGCAACUGUUUAUUAAAAACAUAGCACUCUGCAAACACGAAAGUGGACGUAUAGGGUGUGAUGCCUGCCCGGUGCUGGAAGGUUAAUUGAUGGGGUUAGCGUAAGCGAAGCUCUUGAUCGAAGCCCCAGUAAACGGCGGCCGUAACUAUAACGGUCCUAAGGUAGCGAAAUUCCUUGUCGGGUAAGUUCCGACCUGCACGAAUGGCAUAAUGAUGGCGGCGCUGUCUCCAGCAGAGGCUCAGUGAAAUCGAAAUCGCUGUGAAGAUGCAGUGUACCCGCGGCUAGACGGAAAGACCCCGUGAACCUUUACUGCAGCUUGACACUGAACUUUGACCUUACUUGUGUAGGAUAGGUGGGAGGCUUUGAAGCUGGAACGCUAGUUCCAGUGGAGCCGUCCUUGAAAUACCACCCUGGUAAUGUUGAGGUUCUAACUCUGUCCCGUGAUCCGGGACGAGGACCGUGUCUGGUGGGUAGUUUGACUGGGGCGGUCUCCUCCUAAAGAGUAACGGAGGAGUACGAAGGUGCGCUCAGCGUGGUCGGAAAUCACGCGUAGAGUAUAAAGGCAAAAGCGCGCUUAACUGCGAGACCCACAAGUCGAGCAGGUACGAAAGUAGGUCUUAGUGAUCCGGUGGUUCUGUAUGGAAGGGCCAUCGCUCAACGGAUAAAAGGUACUCUGGGGAUAACAGGCUGAUACCGCCCAAGAGUUCAUAUCGACGGCGGUGUUUGGCACCUCGAUGUCGGCUCAUCUCAUCCUGGGGCUGAAGCAGGUCCCAAGGGUAUGGCUGUUCGCCAUUUAAAGAGGUACGCGAGCUGGGUUUAGAACGUCGUGAGACAGUUCGGUCCCUAUCUACCGUGGGCGCUGGAAAUUUGAGAGGAUCUGCUCCUAGUACGAGAGGACCAGAGUGGACGAACCUCUGGUGUACCGGUUGUGACGCCAGUCGCAUCGCCGGGUAGCUAUGUUCGGAAGGGAUAACCGCUGAAAGCAUCUAAGCGGGAAGCCUACCUCAAGAUAAGAUUUCCCUAGGACUUUAUGUCCUCUAAAGAGCCGUUCGAGACUAGGACGUUGAUAGGUUGGAUGUGGAAGCAUAGUGAUAUGUGAAGCUGACCAAUACUAAUUGCUCGUGAGGCUUGACUAUACAACACCCAAGCAGUUG